RNAcentral lists this ribosomal RNA (859 nucleotides) under uncultured bacterium. RNAcentral's name for it is "bacterial SSU rRNA". It matches the Rfam family "Bacterial small subunit ribosomal RNA", at positions 61 to 916 of the family's 1533-position model. The record is from RNAcentral.
GGGAAACGACAUCGAAAGCUUGCUUUUGAUGGGCGUCGACCGGCGCACGGGUGAGUAACGCGUAUCCAACCUGCCCACCACUUGGGGAUAACCUUGCGAAAGUAAGACUAAUACCCAAUGAUAUCUCUAGAAGACAUCUGAAAGGGAUUAAAGAUUUAUCGGUGAUGGAUGGGGAUGCGUCUGAUUAGCUUGUUGGCGGGGUAACGGCCCACCAAGGCGACGAUCAGUAGGGGUUCUGAGAGGAAGGUCCCCCACAUUGGAACUGAGACACGGUCCAAACUCCUACGGGAGGCAGCAGUGAGGAAUAUUGGUCAAUGGGCGAGAGCCUGAACCAGCCAAGUAGCGUGCAGGAUGACGGCCCUAUGGGUUGUAAACUGCUUUUAUAAGGGAAUAAAGUGAGCCUCGUGAGGCUUUUUGCAUGUACCUUAUGAAUAAGGACCGGCUAAUUCCGUGCCAGCAGCCGCGGUAAUACGGAAGGUCCGGGCGUUAUCCGGAUUUAUUGGGUUUAAAGGGAGCGUAGGCCGGAGAUUAAGCGUGUUGUGAAAUGUAGACGCUCAACGUCUGCACUGCAGCGCGAACUGGUUUCCUUGAGUACGCACAAAGUGGGCGGAAUUCGUGGUGUAGCGGUGAAAUGCUUAGAUAUCACGAAGAACUCCGAUUGCGAAGGCAGCUCACUGGAGCGCAACUGACGCUGAAGCUCGAAAGUGCGGGUAUCGAACAGGAUUAGAUACCCUGGUAGUCCGCACGGUAAACGAUGGAUGCCCGCUGUUGGUCUGAAUAGGUCAGCGGCCAAGCGAAAGCAUUAAGCAUCCCACCUGGGGAGUACGCCGGCAACGGUGAAACUCAAAGGAAUUGACGG